AACUGCGUUUAAGGAGCGCGCCGCGUUUCUAGCGACCUUUCCACCCGCGCGGUUGGGUUGCAAUGCUGACAACAACCCUGGAAGGGGAAGUGUUACCCAGCGUUCCGAGGAGAUCGCACCCUCCCUUGGCUUCAGCAGAGUAGCCGUAUCAUGUAUGGUGCAAGGAGAGCAUCUUCACUUCUGUGCCGCUCCAGAUAAUAAUUCGUACAGAUGCAAAGUUUUGCAGCCUCACGUUGAUUCUUGGGCGGCUUCUCAAAUUUGGUCCGAUCUCCAUCUGCUGAAAAAGCUCCACCUCUUUUAGAAGUGUUGUAAGGGCCGCAUGACUACUUCGCAGUUUGAUAAAUGUUAAUGAGGUAAAGAAGCAGA
This is a long non-coding RNA of Eublepharis macularius, 366 nucleotides long. RefSeq lists it as uncharacterized. The record is from RefSeq and is a predicted model, not a curated record. Lineage: Eukaryota; Metazoa; Chordata; Lepidosauria; Squamata; Eublepharidae. The transcript has 4 exons.